GAUGAACGCUGGCGGCGUGCCUAAUACAUGCAAGUCGAGCGAACAGACGAGGAGCUUGCUCCUUUGACGAUUGCGGCGGACGGGUGAGUAACACGUGUGUCACCUACCUAUAAGACUGGGAUAACCUCGGGAAACCGGAGCUAAUCCCGGAUAAUAUUUCGCACCGCAUGGUUCGAUAGUGAAAGAUGGCUUUGCUAUCACGUAUCGCUGGACCUGCGCCGUAUUAGCUAGUUGUUAAGUUCACGGCCUACCAAGGCAACCAUACGUAGCCGAACUCCGAGGCUGAUAGGCCACACUGGAACGUGAACACGGACAAGACUCCUACGGGAGGCAGCAGUAGGGAAUCUUCCGCAAAGGGGGAAGGCCUGACGGAGCAACGCCGCGUGAGUGAUGAAAGUCUUCGGAGCGUAAAACUCUGUUAUUAGGGAAGAACAAACGUGUAAGUAACUGUGCACGUCGUGACGGUACCUAAUCAGAAAGCCACGGCUAACUACGUG
Molecule: ribosomal RNA, 497 nt
Filed under: uncultured bacterium
Lineage: Bacteria
Description: partial 16S ribosomal RNA
Rfam family: Bacterial small subunit ribosomal RNA
Source: RNAcentral